RNAcentral lists this ribosomal RNA (468 nucleotides) under uncultured bacterium. RNAcentral's name for it is "partial 16S ribosomal RNA". It matches the Rfam family "Bacterial small subunit ribosomal RNA", at positions 28 to 507 of the family's 1533-position model. The record is from RNAcentral.
GAUGAACGCUGGCGGCGUGCUUAACACAUGCAAGUCGAACGGUGAAGCAGAGCUUGCCCUGUGGACCAGUGGCGAACGGGUGAGUAACACGUGAGCAACCUGCGCCUGACACUGCGAUAAGCGCUGGAAACGGCGUCUAAUACAGGAUAUGAGCUGCGACCGCAUGGUCAGCAGUUGGAAAGAUUUUUCGGUGUGGGGUGGGCCCACGGCCUAUCAGCUGUUUGGUGGGGGAAUGGCUGACCAAGGGGUCGAGGGGAAGCCGGCCGGGGGGGGGGAACGGCGCCACUGGGGGCGAGAGACGGCCCCGACUCCUACGGGGGGGGGAAGUGGGGAAAAUUGCACAAAGGGGGCAAGCCCGAUGCAGAGAAGCCGCGUGGGGGGUGACGGGCCUUUGGUUUUAAAACCCUUUUGUUAGGGGCGAAGCGCGAUGUGACGGUACCUAGAGAAAAAGCCCCGGCUAACUACGUG